RNAcentral lists this ribosomal RNA (425 nucleotides) under uncultured bacterium. RNAcentral describes it as "bacterial SSU rRNA". It matches the Rfam family "Bacterial small subunit ribosomal RNA", at positions 354 to 796 of the family's 1533-position model. The record is from RNAcentral.
GUGGGGAAUAUUGGACAAUGGGCGAAAGCCUGAUCCAGCAAUGCCGCGUGAGUGAUGAAGGCCUUAGGGUUGUAAAGCUCUUUUACCCGGGAUGAUAAUGACAGUACCGGGAGAAUAAGCUCCGGCUAACUCCGUGCCAGCAGCCGCGGUAAUACGGAGGGAGCUAGCGUUAUUCGGAAUUACUGGGCGUAAAGCGCACGUAGGCGGCUUUGUAAGUAAGAGGUGAAAGCCCAGAGCUCAACUCUGGAAUUGCCUUUUAGACUGCAUCGCUUGAAUCAUGGAGAGGUCAGUGGAAUUCCGAGUGUAGAGGUGAAAUUCGUAGAUAUUCGGAAGAACACCAGUGGCGAAGGCGGCUGACUGGACAUGUAUUGACGCUGAGGUGCGAAAGCGUGGGGAGCAAACAGGAUUAGAAACCCUAGUAGUCC